Molecule: ribosomal RNA, 497 nt
Filed under: uncultured bacterium
Lineage: Bacteria
Description: partial 16S ribosomal RNA
Rfam family: Bacterial small subunit ribosomal RNA
Source: RNAcentral
GCUGAACGCUGGCGGCGUGCCUAAUACAUGCAAGUCGAGCGAACAGACGAGGAGCUUGCUCCUCUGACGUUAGCGGCGGACGGGUGAGUAACACGUGGAUAACCUACCUAUAAGACUGGGAUAACUUCGGGAAACCGGAGCUAAUACCGGAUAAUAUAUUGAACCGCAUGGUUCAAUAGUGAAAGACGGUUUUGCUGUCACUUAUAGAUGGAUCCGCGCCGCAUUAGCUAGUUGGUAAGGUAACGGCUUACCAAGGCAACGAUGCGCAGCCGACCUGAGAGGGUGAUCGGCCAAACUGGGACGGAGACAGGGUCCAGACUCCUACGGGAGGCAGCAGUAGGGAAUCUGCCGCAAUGGGCGAAAGCCUGACGGAGCAACGCCGCGUGAGUGAUGAAGGUCUUCGGAUCGUAAAACUCUGUUACUAGGGAAGAACAAAUGUGUAAGUACCUAUGCACGUCUUGACGGUACCUAAUCAGAAAGCCACGGCUAACUACGUG